UAGGGAAUAUUGCACAAUGGGGGAAACCCUGAUGCAGCAACGCCGCGUGAGUGAUGACGGCCUUCGGGUUGUAAAGCUCUUUCUUCAGGGACGAUAAUGACGGCACCGGGGGAGGAAGCCACGGCUAACUACGUGCCAGCAGCCGCGGUAAUACGUAGGUGGCGAGCGUUGUCCGGAUUUACUGGGCGUAAAGGGAGCGUAGGCGGACUUUUAAGUGAGAUGUGAAAUACCCGGGCUCAACUUGGGUGCUGCAAUUCAAACUGGAAGUCUAGAGUGCAGGAGAGGAGAAUGGAAUUCCUAGUGUAGCGGUGAAAUGCGUAGAGAUUAGGAAGAACACCAGUGGCGAAGGCGAUUCUCUGGACUGUAACUGACGCUGAGGCUCGAAAGCGUGGGGAGCAAACA
Molecule: ribosomal RNA, 402 nt
Filed under: uncultured prokaryote
Description: bacterial SSU rRNA
Rfam family: Bacterial small subunit ribosomal RNA
Source: RNAcentral